RNAcentral lists this small RNA (22 nucleotides) under Arabidopsis thaliana (thale cress). RNAcentral's name for it is "Ath_wt_19326". The record is from RNAcentral. Lineage: Eukaryota; Viridiplantae; Streptophyta; Magnoliopsida; Brassicales; Brassicaceae.
UAACGCAAUGUGAUUUCUGCCC